GUCUAAUAUUCUUUAUCUUCCUUAAACACUGUGUUAUUGCAGUGUGCCGUUACUGACACAACAACCUGGGCUUCGGGGAGUAGGCGGUUUCAAACCCAAAAACAUCUGGCAGGGUUUUACUGCUCCAUGAUGGAGUGAAUGCUGUUUCAAAGCCAGACAUUGAGUUGUAAACAAAAGCCCAAUAAAAGAUCUCCACCUGCAGUCCAGGACACGGAAAUACAAUUUUGGAGAAAAGAAGGGUGUGGCAGACUGGGUCUGACAGGAUACUGUGACUCUGUGAUCACAGGCCUCUCGUCUACCCGGCGCACUCCUGCUGGUUUACUGAUGAUGUGGUCCAGAGACUCGGGCUGCUGCAGUUGACUCAGGUCGUAGUCCUGGU
Cynoglossus semilaevis (tongue sole) is the source of this 379-nucleotide long non-coding RNA. RefSeq lists it as uncharacterized. The record is from RefSeq and is a predicted model, not a curated record. Lineage: Eukaryota; Metazoa; Chordata; Actinopteri; Pleuronectiformes; Cynoglossidae. The transcript is spliced from 3 exons.